This 5271-nucleotide long non-coding RNA is filed under the name Citrus sinensis (sweet orange). RNAcentral's name for it is "long non-coding RNA (CSIN_LNC000265)". Lineage: Eukaryota; Viridiplantae; Streptophyta; Magnoliopsida; Sapindales; Rutaceae. The record is from RNAcentral.
UUGUUCUCAUUAAAUGAUAUCUGUUGGGACAAGGUCUCUUUCUUGAAUAGUAGUUGUAGUGGCGACGUGAAGAUUAUUUUGGUAUACUAAUCAAAGAAACAAGUACGUUUGAAUAAUCAAGGUUGAAGAAUAUAUAUGGAAAAGCAAUGCAUAAUAAAAUUUCAUAUUUGAUUAUGGCUUGUCAUAAUUGUCUGGUUUUGUUGGAGAUCAUUUUGUUGCUAUGUACAAUCGACGCAUCAGAGCCAUUAAUGUGUGGUCAAUGUGGGAAUUUCGGAUCUGAUGACUACCCGUUUGGAAUCGGAGAAGGAUGCUACUUUGAUAAGAGUUUUGAAGUAUUCUGUGACAACUCUUCCGGUUCUCCGAAACCUCUACUCAAAAGCAUCAACCUCAAUAUGUUGCUAAAUUUUGUGUUUCAGAAAGGCCUUAUAGCAGUCGAGGCUCCUGUAAUUUCUUUGAAUAGCAGCAAGUCAAUGGGUAAUGCUAAAGGUGUUAACCUGACAGGCACCCCGUUUUCUUUUUCUCAGAAGAACAAUAAAUUCACUACCGCAGGCUGUGACAGCUAUGCCAAGCUAAAUCAGAAGAAUGAUUCAAGUAAUUCAGGUAAGUGCCAGUCAGUUUGUACGUGUGAUCCUACACAGUACGCUGAUUGCUGUGAUUUGUUAUGUACCGUUCCUCCAAAUACUAAGGUUUUCGAUACGAAUUCAUCGUACAAAUACUAUCAAAGUAUUCCACAGGAAUGCUCCGUUGUCUUCGUGGUAGAGCAAGAGUGGCUCUUUAACAACUAUCAGACUAAUUCCGUUGUUCUGAAGGAUCAAGAACAAGUUCCUGCAGUGCUGGAGUGGGGGAAAUAUAAAGGCACUUGUACGGAAGAAUACAAUUCACACACUAAAAUGUGUAAUAAGGAUAACCACUGUCUAUUACAAUUAGGCACAGGUCAUUUUUGUCUUUGCGAUUACACAAGAUCCGUGGCUUCCCGACACUGUGCAGGUACAUGUUUUACUUAUUAUUACCUUUUCUUAGGGCUUGCAAAUGAGCAAAACUCUGUUAUUUUAAGGCAUAGUUGAAUUUGAUCUUUUCUAUUUGGGCAUUAAUUGUGCAGGUGACUUGAUCUGUAGUACCACAGGCGGACACAAUUGCUCCGAAUGUCCUCAAGGUUAUUACCUCUCAAGUUAUAAUUCUGACCAAGAGCCACUAUGCUCAAGAAGUACUCAAUUAACAUUUGGGAAAAAAUCUCGGAACAAAUAUAUUGUUAUAGGUACUUGUAUCCAUUUUACCUUUUUUCCACUACGUGUUAUAUGGGAUUAUAGCCACAUUUCAGCUUAACUUUGAAAGCACAAUAACAAGAAUGAAAACUUUGUCCUUGAGUGGUGCAGGUUGCACCAGUGGUGGGUUUGGGAUGUUGUGUCUACUCACUGGAGCAUGGUGGGUGUACAAGUUUCUCAAGCGAAAAAUGGAAAUCAUGCUCAAGCAAAAGUUCUUCAAGAGAAAUGGUGGUUUAUUGCUGCAACAAGAGUUGGCUUCCACUGAAGGUAAUAUUGACAAAUCAAAAUUGUUUACUUCUAAGGAAUUGGAAACAGCCACUGAUCACUAUAACACGAAUCGAAUUCUUGGCCAAGGGGGCCAAGGCACUGUGUACAAAGGAAUGCUAGCAGAUGGAAAAAUCGUGGCUAUUAAAAAAUCCAAAGUAAUAGAUGAGAGUAAAGUUGAUGAAUUCAUCAAUGAGGUGGCUAUUUUGUCUCAAAUUAACCAUAGAAAUGUUGUUAAACUACUAGGAUGUUGCUUGGAGACUGAAGUUCCUCUUUUAGUCUAUGAGUUCAUUAUCAAUGGAACACUCUUUCAAUACUUACACGAUCAAAAUGAGGAGUUUCCAAUCACAUGGGAAAUUCGACUGCGGAUUGCUAUUGAAGUUUCAGAUGCUCUGUCCUAUCUACAUUCUGCUGCUUCGAUACCCAUUUAUCAUCGAGAUAUCAAGUCUACAAACAUACUUUUGGAUGGUAAAUAUCGUGCCAAAGUUUCAGAUUUUGGGGCAUCAAGAUCUAUGUCAAUUGAUCAAACACAUAUGACUACUCAAGUCCAAGGUACCUUUGGAUACUUAGAUCCUGAGUAUUUUCGAUCGAGUCGAUUUACAGAGAAAAGUGAUGUUUACAGCUUUGGAGUGGUUCUUGCUGAGCUCUUAACAGGAGAGAGAGCAAUUCGUGUCACCAACUUCGAAGAAGACAAAAGUUUAGCAGCAUACUUUCUACGUGCAAUGAAAGAGGACAGUUUGUUUGAAAUCCUUGAUGCUCAUGUCCUGAAGGAGGCUUCCCAAGAAGACAUUGUAACAGUUGCUAAACUCACAAAUAGAUGCUUGAAUCUUAAUGGGAAGAAAAGGCCUACAAUGAAAGAAGUAGCCGUGGUAUUAGCAGGGAUUAAAGCAUGCGAUGGAACUUCAAAUAUUAUCCAAGAAAGUGUUGAGAGCGACAUAGCUGAAAGUUAUGAAACUGGUGAAUCUUUCACCGAAUCAUAUACUGAUAGUGUCACUAUUCCGGUGGAUGCUGAUCCUCUAAUUUCAAAAAAUGGUGAGGACUGAGGAGAUUCUCAAUAAUGUAACUGAAAGUUUCUAUGCAGUUGAAUUUCAAGUUAUAUGUUAGAAUAUUUCAUGUUUAAUAAUAAUCAAUAUGUUUGAAUUUCAUUUCAUAAUUAAAAUUGGGAGACUUUUAGUAUUGUUUACUUCCAUUUACUACGCUUUUGAGAAUCUUGCGCCUCAUGACUUCCAUUUAUUGUGGACCCAGACGGGUAUUUCAUAAAUCCGCGUCCCAAUUUACAAGAGGCUAUAUAAAUUCUGGUGGUCCAGGCUACUUCAUAUGUGAUUUUCUAAUUACUGGGUUAGAAUUAGAGAAUUUUCUGUAUGGGAAAUUUGUUCUUUGUAAGGAGUUCUCGAAUUGUUGUGCCAUAAUAGAAGCUUGCUUAAUGCGUGUUUAUAGUGUGAGAUUAGGCAGUUUUGGCUGAGCCAUUCUAGUCUAUGAUUUCUAGUUCUUUUCUCUGCUCUUGGUUAUUCAAUUUAUUGUCGUAUCAUCCUCAAAGUUUGUCUAUCGUUGGACUGGACGUACCCAAAAAUCAUGAAAUGGAUCCAAUAAUUUUAAUGCUGGUGUCUAUUUUAGAUCAACUGCAUUGACAUAAAAAAUUUUCAUAAUGGUAUAUACGUUGUAUCAAGUCAUACACGAUACUCGCAAGGGAUUUUUAGGAUAAGAUGACUGGAGUCCCUUCAAGCGCAGAUUUUCUAUUUAGCAUUUUACUACCCUUGUAAAUCUCCUACUCUCUCUUUUCAUUAACAAAUUUGAUCAUUUAUAUUAAAUAAGUCAUAAUUAAAAUGGUUUUCACUUCCGUCAUAAUAAAAUAUUAAAAUGCUCAAUUUCAGCACCAUCUCAUCAAUGUAAUUUGGGUUGACCAAGAUCCUUUGGUCUUUGCUAGAGAACAUAUGAAAAUAGACAGAGAAAAAUAAAAUAACAUAAAAUAAAACAAAAGGGAAUAAGAAAAUGAGUAGUAGAGCUGCUUAUUUUUUAUUAGUUUAUGGGUGGGGCUAUAUAUUUACAACCUGAAAAAUACUCUGACCACUCAUUUACUUGGGACACUCAUUCAUUGUAAUUUAAAAAUAGUUAAGUUUUACUUUGUACCCUCUUAAAGUUCCAAACAUAUCCUUAAAGCUUCCUCUUUGUUUCUUCUUCGUAUAUUCUUAGCACGAAAACACCCAAGUCAAGAAUUUCUUAUAUGCUUUCAAUAUUGGUUUAACUAUGAUUCCAUAAAAGCUCUGCCCAUUGUACAAUUAUUCUUGUUCGUAUUGCAAAUUACAGAUGUUGUUAUUUCAGAUUUUGAACAACAAAUCAGUCAUUUUUUUUCUUUUCAGAUUCAAAACAAUAAAUAACCAAUUUAUGCCAGGCCUUUAGCAAACAAUAAUCAACUGGGUGUGAUAAUUGAUUUGAUAUAAAUAAGCAUGGAAUGAAUGGCACAUUUAUUGAGUUUGAGAGAAAAUUUUAUUAGUAUGAUUUUUACUACAUCAUAAAAGUGGAGAACUUGUGAGUCAUGAUUUUCUUGACAAGAAUGGUGAGCAAUAUGUUUGAAUUUUAAGGAUUAACAUUAGUUAAAACUAAUAAAUUUAUGUGGUGGAAUGCGUUCGUUGAGAAUUAAAAAUGGGAUUUAAAAUAUUUUGAGCGCUUUUCGCCACGUUCUUUCCCUUCUUGUCAUUAACGGUUGACAAUGAAAUUUUCUCAACCUCAUUAUCAUUGCUAUCUUCAACAUUACGGGAUAAAUUUGGAGCAUUUGAUGAAUUGAUUUCUAUAUUUUUUGUUUGUGACAUCGUAUUGCUGUUUAUUAUAGAAAAAAUAAUAAAUAAUUAUAAAUAAUCAUGCAAAUUACAUAGUUAUAAUACUAUGUAACAAAAUUAACUUAAAGGCAACCUAAAUGCUAAAUUUAACUCCUAUUAAUAAAAAAAAUUAUCAUACAAAUUACAUAAUUAUGAAUAUUAUGGAAUAAAUUAACUUAAAACAACCUAAAUCUAAAUUCAGCUCCUAUUAAUAAAAAAUAAUUAUAAAUAUUACAUAAUUAUAAAUAUUAUGUAACAAAUUAACUUAAAGGCAACCUAAAUACUAAAUUCAACUCCUAUUAAUAAACAAUUAUCAUUAUAUCAUACAAAAUUACAUAACUAUAAAUAUUAUGUAAUUAAGUUAAAGCAACCUAAAAUCUAAAUUCAACUCCCAUUAAUUAAGAAUAAUCAUACAAGCAUGGUAUCCAAGAAAAACAUUAAGCAUAUAUAUAACACCUAAUAAUAAUAAUGUCAAUUUCAUCAUUUGUUUUUUGAAAAAACAGCCAAAAAAAAGAUAAUACCUUGUGGUUGUGAUGGCCGAGUUGCCGCUGAGAAGGUGACGAAACAAUGGAGUGAGACGAGCUAUGAUGGUUGAUGCCAUCGCACGGUGGCUGUCGUUGAGAAGACGACCAAACGUUGGAGAGACGUUGGCUGUGACGGCUGUGCUUUGUGAGAAAUGAGAAGAGCUGACCAAGGGAGGUAAGAGGUUCCUAAAGGCGCAGUCAACACUACAGCGGUGGAUGGUGGCUGCUGCCGGAGAGACGAAAGGAGGUGCCGACUGCCGAGGUUCGUAGGUUGGCAGCAGUGAAUUGUUUCAGUGUCUGUGUUGUGUUUAGUUAUAAAAUCAAUACCCGGAUCUGCUUUUCCCAUACAUGCGGUCCGGGCCACAUGCGCCGAGUCUGGGCUGGAUCUGGUCCAGGUGCGCAUUUUUG